GACGGAUGGGGCUAGCGUUAUUGGGCUUUACUGGGUGUAAAGGGUAUGUAGACAGUUUUAUUUUAUUUAUGUGAAAUGUCUGGGUUAAACUUUUUCAUAUUGCAUUAAUUUAAUAUAAAACUUGAGUUUAAACGAGGUAACUAGAAUUUUUAAUGGAGGGCAAAAUCCACCGAGAUUAAAAGGAAUACCAAGAGUGAAAGCAUGUUACUAGGUUAAACUGACGUUAAAGUACGAAAGCAUAGGGAGCAAACAGG
Molecule: ribosomal RNA, 254 nt
Filed under: uncultured bacterium
Lineage: Bacteria
Description: partial 16S ribosomal RNA
Rfam family: Bacterial small subunit ribosomal RNA
Source: RNAcentral